UGGGGAAUAUUGGGCAAUGGGGGUAACCCUGACCCAGCGACGCCGCGUGAGGGACGAAGGUUUUCGGAUCGUAAACCUCUGUUGUACGGGAAGAAGGAAUUGACGGUACCGUACGAGAAAGCCCCGGCAAACUACGUGCCAGCAGCCGCGGUAACACGUAGGGGGCGAGCGUUGUCCGGAAUUACUGGGCGUAAAGGGCGCGCAGGCGGUCAUGUAAGUCUGCUGUGAAAAGCAUCGGCUCAACCGGGUGUCUUGCGGCGGAUACUGCAUGGCUUGAGUACUGGAGAGGGAAGUGGAAUUCCCGGUGUAGCGGUGAAAUGCGUAGAUAUCGGAGGACACCGGUGGCGAAGGCGGCUUCUGGCCAGUAACUGACGCUCAUGCGCGAGAGCGUGGGUAGCGA
This 400-nucleotide ribosomal RNA is filed under the name uncultured bacterium. RNAcentral's name for it is "bacterial SSU rRNA". It matches the Rfam family "Bacterial small subunit ribosomal RNA", at positions 355 to 771 of the family's 1533-position model. The record is from RNAcentral.